UACGGAGAGUGCAAGCAUUAAUCGGAAUUAUUGGGCGUAAAGGGCGCGUAGGCGGGAAUGGAAGUCAGAUGUGAAAUUCCGAAGCUCAACUUCGGAGCUGCAUUUGAAACUCCAAAUCUAGAGGAUUGACGGGGAAAACGGAAUUCCACGUGUAGCGGUGAAAUGCGUAGAUAUGUGGAAGAACACCUGUGGCGAAAGCGGUUUUCUAGUUAACACCUGACGCUGAGGCGCGAGAGCAAGGGGAGCAAACAGG
RNAcentral lists this ribosomal RNA (253 nucleotides) under uncultured prokaryote. RNAcentral describes it as "partial 16S ribosomal RNA". It matches the Rfam family "Bacterial small subunit ribosomal RNA", at positions 524 to 776 of the family's 1533-position model. The record is from RNAcentral.